This 431-nucleotide ribosomal RNA is filed under the name uncultured bacterium. RNAcentral's name for it is "partial 16S ribosomal RNA". It matches the Rfam family "Bacterial small subunit ribosomal RNA", at positions 29 to 507 of the family's 1533-position model. The record is from RNAcentral.
AAUGAACGCUGGCGGCAGGCCUAACACAUGCAAGUCGAACGCCCCGCCAGGGAAGUGGCACACUUGUGAGUAACGCGUGGCAGUCUACUCAUCCCUACAUAAUAACCCAUUUAUACGUGUGCUAAUACCGUAUACGCCCUACGCUGGUAGGAUUUAUCUGGGAUGGAUGAGCCCACGUUGGAUUAGCUAGUUGGUCGGUUAAAGGGCUACCAAGGCGACGAUCCACAGCUGGUCAGAGAGGAUCGGCAGCCACAUUGGGAGUGAGACACGGGCGAAAAUCCUACGGGAGGGAGCAGUGGGGAAUAGUGGACAAUGGGCGGAAGGCUGAACCACCCAUGCCGCGUAAGUGAUGUAGGCAGUAAAGUAGAAAAGCUCUUUCAACGGAGAAGAUAAUGACGGUAACCAAAGAAAAAGCCACGGCUAACUUCGUG